AUUGAACGCUGGCGGCAGGCCUAACACAUGCAAGUCGAGCGCGAAAGGCUUUCGGGCUGAGUAGAGCGGCGGACGGGUGAGUAACGCGUAGGAAUCUACCUGGUAGUGGGGGACAACUUGGGGAAACUCAAGCUAAUACCGCAUACGCCCCACGGGGGAAAGCGGGGGACCUUCGGGCCUCGCGCUAUCGGAUGAGCCUGCGUAGGAUUAGCUAGUUGGUGGGGUAAAGGCUCACCAAGGCGACGAUCCUUAGCUGGUCUGAGAGGAUGAUCAGCCACACUGGAACUGAGACACGGUCCAGACUCCUACGGGAGGCAGCAGUGGGGAAUAUUGCGCAAUGGGCGAAAGCCUGACGCAGCCAUGCCGCGUGUGUGAAGAAGGCCUUAGGGUUGUAAAGCACUUUCAAUUGGGAAGAAAAGUUUAUGGUUAAUAGCCAUAAGCCC
This 443-nucleotide ribosomal RNA is filed under the name uncultured Oceanospirillales bacterium. RNAcentral describes it as "bacterial SSU rRNA". It matches the Rfam family "Bacterial small subunit ribosomal RNA", at positions 30 to 474 of the family's 1533-position model. The record is from RNAcentral. Lineage: Bacteria; Pseudomonadati; Pseudomonadota; Gammaproteobacteria; Oceanospirillales.